This 497-nucleotide ribosomal RNA is filed under the name uncultured bacterium. Its description in RNAcentral is "partial 16S ribosomal RNA". It matches the Rfam family "Bacterial small subunit ribosomal RNA", at positions 28 to 507 of the family's 1533-position model. The record is from RNAcentral.
GAUGAACGCUGGCGGCGUGCCUAAUACAUGCAAGUCGAGCGAACAGACGAGGAGCUUGCUCCUCUGACGUUAGCGGCGGACGGGUGAGUAACACGUGGAUAACCUACCUAUAAGACUGGGAUAACUUCGGGAAACCGGAGCUAAUACCGGAUAAUAUAUUGAACCGCAUGGUUCAAUAGUGAAAGACGGUUUUGCUGUCACUUAUAGAUGGAUCCGCGCCGCAUUAGCUAGUUGGUAAGGUAACGGCUUACCAAGGCGACGAUGCGUAGCCGACCUGAGAGGGUGAUCGGCCACACUGGAACUGAGACACGGUCCAGACUCCUACGGGAGGCAGCAGUAGGGAAUCUUCCGCAAUGGGCGAAAGCCUGACGGAGCAACGCCGCGUGAGUGAUGAAGGUCUUCGGAUCGUAAAACUCUGUUAUUAGGGAAGAACAAAUGUGUAAGUAACUAUGCACGUCUUGACGGUACCUAAUCAGAAAGCCACAGCUAACUACGUG